RNAcentral lists this ribosomal RNA (913 nucleotides) under Saccharomyces cf. cerevisiae/paradoxus. RNAcentral describes it as "LSU rRNA". It matches the Rfam family "Eukaryotic large subunit ribosomal RNA", at positions 34 to 964 of the family's 3401-position model. Lineage: Eukaryota; Fungi; Ascomycota; Saccharomycetes; Saccharomycetales; Saccharomycetaceae. The record is from RNAcentral.
UUAAGCAUAUCAAUAAGCGGAGGAAAAGAAACCAACCGGGAUUGCCUUAGUAACGGCGAGUGAAGCGGCAAAAGCUCAAAUUUGAAAUCUGGUACCUUCGGUGCCCGAGUUGUAAUUUGGAGAGGGCAACUUUGGGGCCGUUCCUUGUCUAUGUUCCUUGGAACAGGACGUCAUAGAGGGUGAGAAUCCCGUGUGGCGAGGAGUGCGGUUCUUUGUAAAGUGCCUUCGAAGAGUCGAGUUGUUUGGGAAUGCAGCUCUAAGUGGGUGGUAAAUUCCAUCUAAAGCUAAAUAUUGGCGAGAGACCGAUAGCGAACAAGUACAGUGAUGGAAAGAUGAAAAGAACUUUGAAAAGAGAGUGAAAAAGUACGUGAAAUUGUUGAAAGGGAAGGGCAUUUGAUCAGACAUGGUGUUUUGUGCCCUCUGCUCCUUGUGGGUAGGGGAAUCUCGCAUUUCACUGGGCCAGCAUCAGUUUUGGUGGCAGGAUAAAUCCAUAGGAAUGUAGCUUGCCUCGGUAAGUAUUAUAGCCUGUGGGAAUACUGCCAGCUGGGACUGAGGACUGCGACGUAAGUCAAGGAUGCUGGCAUAAUGGUUAUAUGCCGCCCGUCUUGAAACACGGACCAAGGAGUCUAACGUCUAUGCGAGUGUUUGGGUGUAAAACCCAUACGCGUAAUGAAAGUGAACGUAGGUUGGGGCCUCGCAAGAGGUGCACAAUCGACCGAUCCUGAUGUCUUCGGAUGGAUUUGAGUAAGAGCAUAGCUGUUGGGACCCGAAAGAUGGUGAACUAUGCCUGAAUAGGGUGAAGCCAGAGGAAACUCUGGUGGAGGCUCGUAGCGGUUCUGACGUGCAAAUCGAUCGUCGAAUUUGGGUAUAGGGGCGAAAGACUAAUCGAACCAUCUAGUAGCUGGUUCUGCGA